This 257-nucleotide unclassified non-coding RNA is filed under the name Hevea brasiliensis (rubber tree). Lineage: Eukaryota; Viridiplantae; Streptophyta; Magnoliopsida; Malpighiales; Euphorbiaceae. The record is from RNAcentral.
AUUUAUAUGGAAGUGAGAUGGAAUUUGAAGCACUAAUGCCUCUCACAAGAUCAUCGAAUUAACUGAAAUUUCCUACAAAUAGCAAAGUUUCAAAAUGAAAAGAAGGGAAAGAAAGGGAUUUAAACUGUAUUUUUGAAAAAUACUUAGAACUAACUAAAAAAAUAUGGAACAUUGGAGACCAUCAUUUUUCUAUCUUAAUUAAUUUGACAGCCUAAUGCUACAUGAAAAAGACCCAAUUCCGAAACAAAUAAUAAAAA